CAUAAACCCAACCCCUCACUCCCCAACUCUUAAAAACUCAAAACCCCAAAACACAAAGAAAAACAAAUACUCACAUCCAACUCAAAGCUUCUCCACCAAAAACUUCAUAACUUUCUUAGCAAUGGCACAAAUCAGCAUGUCCAGGGCCUUCUUCUUCGUCCAAAUGCUGGUCUUGGUCGUCUUGGCGGCAACGGUUUCGGCUCAGGAGAGUGCGCCGGCACCGGCACCGGCACAGAUGGAUGCCGGGGCGGGUUACUCUUUGCCUGUAAACGGCGCAGCUGUUGGAGCGUCGCUUAUGGUCUCAGUUUUUGCCUUGUUCAAGCACUACUUGAAUUAAUUUGUUUAGAGUGAGAUACGGCAAGCUUGGAUUCAUUGGAAAUUUGUUAUGCAUUGGUUUUUU
This 400-nucleotide long non-coding RNA is filed under the name Prunus dulcis (almond). Its description in RNAcentral is "sRNA ncRNA". The record is from RNAcentral. Lineage: Eukaryota; Viridiplantae; Streptophyta; Magnoliopsida; Rosales; Rosaceae.